AUCCCAUGAUGAGGACAGGUGGCCACAUACUCCUGCAAACGCUCCCAUGCUUCAGGAAUAGACUCAUCCAUCGUCUGCUGGAAACUUGAAAUCCUUCCACGAAGGGC
Molecule: non-coding RNA, 107 nt
Organism: Oryza nivara
Lineage: Eukaryota; Viridiplantae; Streptophyta; Magnoliopsida; Poales; Poaceae
Source: Rfam